GACGAACGCUGGCGGCGCGCCUAAUACAUGCAAGUCGAACGGGCACACUUCGGUGUGUCAGUGGCGGACGGGUGAGUAACACGUGGGUGACCUGCCCCGCAGUACGGAAUAACCCUGGGAAACCAGGGCUAAUACCGCAUAUGCUUAGUGCUUCGCUGCAUUAAGUAAAGACUUCUCGCUGCGGGAGGGGCUUGCGGCGGAUUAGCUAGUCGGUGGGGUAAUGGCCACCGAGGCGACGAUCCGUAGCUGGUCUGAGAGGACGACCAGCCACACUGGGACUGAGACACGGCCCAGACUCCUACGGGAGGCAGCAGUAAGGAAUAUUCCACAAUGGGCGCCAGCCUGAUGGAGCGACGCCGCGUGAGCGAAGAAGCCCUUCGGGGGUGUAAAGCUCUUUUCGGGGGGAUGAGACAGACAGUACCCCUGGAAUAAGCCUCGGCUAACUACGUGCCAGCA
RNAcentral lists this ribosomal RNA (456 nucleotides) under uncultured bacterium. RNAcentral describes it as "bacterial SSU rRNA". It matches the Rfam family "Bacterial small subunit ribosomal RNA", at positions 28 to 513 of the family's 1533-position model. The record is from RNAcentral.